Albula glossodonta (roundjaw bonefish) is the source of this 72-nucleotide non-coding RNA. The record is from the annotation of a GenBank genome assembly. NCBI's taxonomy places the organism in Eukaryota, Metazoa, Chordata, Actinopteri, Albuliformes, Albulidae.
GGCACAGUGGCCAAAUGAUAAAGCAUGGGUCUUGUAAACCAAUGAUCACAUGUUCAAACCCUGUCUGUGCUU